Molecule: transfer RNA, 70 nt
Filed under: Bacillus sp. AFS037270
Lineage: Bacteria; Bacillati; Bacillota; Bacilli; Caryophanales; Bacillaceae
Also listed under: 1 other name
Description: tRNA-Arg
Rfam family: tRNA (bases 5-60)
About the family: Transfer RNA (tRNA) molecules are approximately 80 nucleotides in length. Their secondary structure includes four short double-helical elements and three loops (D, anti-codon, and T loops). Further hydrogen bonds mediate the characteristic L-shaped molecular structure. tRNAs have two regions of fundamental functional importance: the anti-codon, which is responsible for specific mRNA codon recognition, and the 3' end, to which the tRNAs corresponding amino acid is attached (by aminoacyl-tRNA synthetases). tRNAs cope with the degeneracy of the genetic code in two manners: having more than one tRNA (with a specific anti-codon) for a particular amino acid; and 'wobble' base-pairing, i.e. permitting non-standard base-pairing at the 3rd anti-codon position.
Source: RNAcentral
GUUUGUAGCUGUUCAGAGCAUACGCCUUCUAAGCGUACGGUCGGGAGUUCGAAUCUCUCCUGGGACGCCA